RNAcentral lists this unclassified non-coding RNA (153 nucleotides) under Mus musculus (house mouse). Its description in RNAcentral is "partial derived from hnRNA or mRNA fragment, or novel small non-messenger RNA without known sequence-or structural motifs". Lineage: Eukaryota; Metazoa; Chordata; Mammalia; Rodentia; Muridae. The record is from RNAcentral.
CUCAAAGUGACCUUACACAAAGUAGUAAUAAAAUUUAUACUAUGUUCANAUAUUCUGUACUGUUUAGUAAGUGGGUCAUAUAUACUAUUUUUCAUGUUUUUAGUGCANAAACCUUCCUACUUUANAAGUGCUUAAGUUUGAAAUCUAAUGUUA